GACGUAGGGCGCGAGCGUUGUCCGGAUUUAUUGGGCGUAAAGAGCUCGUAGGCGGCUUGUCGCGUCGUGUGUGAAAUCUCAGGGCUCAACUCUGACAUUGCAUACGAUACGGGCAGGCUUGAGUUCGGGUAGGGGAGACUGGAAUUCCUGGGUGUAGCGGUGAAAUGCGCAGAUAUCAGGAGGAACACCGGUGGCGAAGGCGGGUCUCUGGGCCGAUGACUGACGCUGAGGAGCGAAAGCGUGGGGAGCGAACAGG
RNAcentral lists this ribosomal RNA (256 nucleotides) under uncultured bacterium. Its description in RNAcentral is "partial 16S ribosomal RNA". It matches the Rfam family "Bacterial small subunit ribosomal RNA", at positions 524 to 776 of the family's 1533-position model. The record is from RNAcentral.